Molecule: transfer RNA, 73 nt
Filed under: Eucampia zodiacus
Lineage: Eukaryota; Bacillariophyta; Thalassiosirophyceae; Eucampiales; Eucampiaceae
Description: tRNA-Val
Rfam family: tRNA
About the family: Transfer RNA (tRNA) molecules are approximately 80 nucleotides in length.
Source: RNAcentral
AAGUAAUUAGCUCAAUUGGUAGAGCGUCUCGCUUACAACGAGAAUGUCAUCGGUUCAAAUCCGGUAUUACUUA